RNAcentral lists this ribosomal RNA (312 nucleotides) under Triticum aestivum (bread wheat). Its description in RNAcentral is "partial small subunit ribosomal RNA". The record is from RNAcentral. Lineage: Eukaryota; Viridiplantae; Streptophyta; Magnoliopsida; Poales; Poaceae.
AUGAGCCAAAGCUUUGUCUCCUUCUUUAUCUCUUGCAAGAGGAUCAUGGGCAAUGCAGAUUUAUCGUGGAAGAUCCUAGUAUUCCUUUCAUUUCAACCUGUCCAAGAGACUAGCAUGGGUAAAGAGACUAUAAAUCUGCAAUUAUACUUGACAGAAAUGAGCUAUACAAGUGAAAAUAACUUGACGGUUGAAGAGAUAAGAUGUUUCCCAUCAGCACUGAAUUCAAGGUCAAGGAUGGAUUUUUUUAUAUUAAGAAAGAAAUUUGUGCUCUCAACAUUUAUUUAUUUAAAUAUAAGUAGCCAAUAUGAUUAG